RNAcentral lists this long non-coding RNA (422 nucleotides) under Nicotiana benthamiana. RNAcentral's name for it is "long non-coding RNA (NBEN_LNC039306)". The record is from RNAcentral. Lineage: Eukaryota; Viridiplantae; Streptophyta; Magnoliopsida; Solanales; Solanaceae.
ACCACACUUUAUGUUAUUUCCAUGCUACAUACCUACACUUGAUCCAUGUCGUUGGUUAUAUUGAUAUACGUGAUCUAUGUUUGUUCUAGUUACGCAAGAGUAACUAAGAGCUCUUAGAUCCUAUGUUGGUAUGAUUGAUGGACAGGAUUGUUCAUGUCAAUUUUAUUAUGAUAGCAAUUCUUAGCUCAUAAGGUUAUAAUGUAACAUAUAAUGCUAAGGUUUAUACAUAUGUAUGAGUAUCUCGUCCAAGCGGGAGAUUGUUAGAUAUAUGGACUUAUAUCUACAUACAUAUGAACAAUAUAUGGAUUAAUUAUAUGUUAUGUGCUAUCUUCUGGUUUGGCCUAAAUUGGUGGUCUUAUGGACAUUGUUAAGGGGGCCAAUAUAUUGUCAUAUAAAGUGUAAGACUAAUGUGUAGAUACCCA